ACUCAAAGGAAUAGACGGGGGCCCGCACAAGCGGUGGAGCAUGUGGUUUAAUUCGACGCAACGCGAAGAACCUUACCUGGGCUCGAACGGCUAUUGACCGGUGGCAGAAACGUCACCAUUCCCGCAAGGGACAGUAGUCGAGGUGCUGCAUGGCUGUCGUCAGCUCGUGUCGUGAGAUGUUGGGUUAAGUCCCGCAACGAGCGCAACCCUUGUCCUGUGUUGCUAAUCGAAAGAUGCACUCUCAGGAGACCGCCAGCGAUAAGCUGGAGGAAGGUGGGGAUGACGUCAAGUCAUCAUGGCCUUUAUGUCCAGGGCUACACACGUGCUACAAUGGACGGUACAAAGCGCAGCAAACCCGCGAGGGGGAGCCAAUCGCAAAAAACCGUUCUCAGUUCGGAUUGCAGGCUGCAACUCGCCUGCAUGAAGCUGGAAUCGCUAGUAAUGGCAUAUCAGAAUGAUGCCGUGAAUACGUUCCCGGGCCUUGCACACACCGCCCGU
RNAcentral lists this ribosomal RNA (498 nucleotides) under uncultured bacterium. Its description in RNAcentral is "partial 16S ribosomal RNA". It matches the Rfam family "Bacterial small subunit ribosomal RNA", at positions 899 to 1397 of the family's 1533-position model. The record is from RNAcentral.